This 360-nucleotide unclassified non-coding RNA is filed under the name soil metagenome. Its description in RNAcentral is "partial contains 5.8S ribosomal RNA, internal transcribed spacer 2, and large subunit ribosomal RNA". The stretch from base 1 to 120 matches the Rfam family "5.8S ribosomal RNA", at positions 35 to 154 of the family's 154-position model. The record is from RNAcentral.
GAUGAAGAACGUAGCGAAAUGCGAUAAGUAAUGCGAAUUGCAGAAUUCAGUGAAUCAUCGAAUCUUUGAACGCACAUUGCGCCCGCCAGUAUUCUGGCGGGCAUGCCUGUCUGAGCGUCGUUUCGACCCUCGCGCCCGGCUUCUGUCGGGGGCGGUGUUGGGGAUCGGCCACACCCUUCAGUGGGAGGCCGGCCCCUAAAUUCAGUGGCGACCACGCUGUAGCCUCCCCUGCGUAGUACUAAAACCACCUCGCAGGCGGAGAGCGGUGCGGCCCGCCGUAAAACCCCCCAACUUUUACAAGGUCGACCUCAGAUCAGGUAGGAAUACCCGCCGAACUUAAGCAUAUCAAUAAGCGGAGGA